Long non-coding RNA from Octopus sinensis (East Asian common octopus), 174 nucleotides. RefSeq lists it as uncharacterized. NCBI's taxonomy places the organism in Eukaryota, Metazoa, Mollusca, Cephalopoda, Octopoda, Octopodidae. The transcript has 3 exons. The record is from RefSeq and is a predicted model, not a curated record.
UGAAAUAAAUUUAAAAUAGAUACGUCAGUAGAAAGCUCUGUGAUGAUAGUAAUAUCGAUCAUCAAAGCAGUUUAUCAUGGACCAAUAGCCGGAUUACUACCUCCCACUUUGAAGGGUAUGCGUUUGCAAUCGAGGAACAGGAAAUGUCAACCAAGUACCUGAUGCACAAAAGGG